CUUUUAGUAUAAGUAUGUCCUAUGCAGUAUUUGGGACAUACUUAUCCUAAGC
This 52-nucleotide microRNA precursor is filed under the name Equus asinus (donkey). Its description in RNAcentral is "mir-1302 microRNA precursor family". It matches the Rfam family "mir-1302 microRNA precursor family". RNAcentral also lists the same sequence under 1 other name. The record is from Rfam by way of RNAcentral. Lineage: Eukaryota; Metazoa; Chordata; Mammalia; Perissodactyla; Equidae.